RNAcentral lists this ribosomal RNA (140 nucleotides) under Procamallanus sp. BC-2021. RNAcentral's name for it is "partial small subunit ribosomal RNA". The record is from RNAcentral. Lineage: Eukaryota; Metazoa; Nematoda; Chromadorea; Rhabditida; Camallanidae.
CCACUCUCAGCACGAGGAGGUAGUGUCAAAGUGUAUAUACGUCAUUGCUGCGGUUAAAAAGCUCGUAGUUGGAUUUCAGCUCGAUGUCUCGGCCCCCGGCUAGCAAGUUACUUUGAAAAAUUAGCAGUUACUUUGAAAAA